This 2293-nucleotide long non-coding RNA is filed under the name Panax ginseng (ginseng). Its description in RNAcentral is "long non-coding RNA (PGIN_LNC003865)". The record is from RNAcentral. Lineage: Eukaryota; Viridiplantae; Streptophyta; Magnoliopsida; Apiales; Araliaceae.
AAGGAUUAAUUAAUGGAGUAUAAGAAAAGUAAGAGGUUAGGUACAGUAGGCAGACAGUUUUCACGCGACAUUUUGGUUUUCACAGCAAAGCCAAUACUCUUCUCUUCGCUUCAAUCAUUUCUCCACUAACCAGUUCUCCAACUGAUUGAAUUAUAGAGUGAGAUAGAGUUGGAAUUUUCCGGAGCUCAGGCGACCUACGCCGGAGACUGACGCACGUAUUGUAAGUACUCAAUCAAAACCCUAAAACCCUAGCGCUCUAUCUAUGUAAUUAGUAUAUUAAGGCUUGAUUUUAUCGGAUUUUGUCAAAUUUGUGGAUACCCUUUGCAGUUUAUUAGCUCUAUUUGUAUAUAGAUAUAUGUGUAAUUACACUCAUGGGCUAGAAGCCUAAAAGUUAGACUAUUGAUUUUCCAUUUUGGAGGAUUCUCGAAAGGGUGGAAAAUGAAAAGCAAGAAAAGGGUUGUAGAUAUUAUUAAUCGUAUGCUUUAUACCCAGAAGCCGAGUAAACGAAAUUUUAGUAAUUUGAAGGGUGAUGAGUGUUUCUGUUUUUACUGACUUUCUUUUUUGCGAAUCAUGUAAUUGCUAGAGAUAUUUUUUUUGGGUUUUUUUAUAUUUAGUGAUAAACUUGAAUUCUUUAGAGGAUUCCUCUGUAGCCUCUCAUUUUUUUUUUCACUAUUUCUUUUUUUGCUGGACUGGAAACAAGACUUUAGAAAAGGUAGCUAAAUAGUUGACUCUGGUAGUUCUUGAAUCAAUCUUGGCUACAACCUUGAAAUAAAUCUUUUUUGGAAUUAAUCUCUGUAACCAUUGAAGAAACACAUUCUUGUGCUGGGUGAAAGUCAAGACACUCACCAAUGCUUAAAAGGUCUUAGGGUUGGAUAUAUUAUCAACUGUUGGAUGUUUCGGGGCCUGCUUAAUGCAUGGUCUUGCUCUUGGGACAAUCAAACUGAAAGCAUUGGGGUUGAGCUCUAAUCACUCUGCAAAUGUAAUAUUCAGCUCUGUUUCAGUUGACACAUUCAUAUAACUUUUUCGGCUGUUCAUUCUUCAGUAGUUUGUAUCUGAACACUAGGUUUCACUGCUUCAAUUUAUUAUGCCAUGAAUCAAACAAAGUGUUUGCCUGUUGGUUAUAAGUUUAAAUAACUACUCAUAGGGUUAGAGCAUGUCAAAUAGUAAUUAAAGUGUGUAGAAUUUGCAUAAGUUUUACAUACUGCUUGGUUUUAAAACUUAAGAGGUAGGCAUCUUUCCUACAUGAUGCUUAUGUGAGUAGUGACUAGAUUUCCUCCUACUCAUGACUAAUUUAGUGUGGUUAGUGUGGCUUUGGCUUUUCCUCCUAUGCUACCUUGUCGAGUCUGCUUUCGCUAUGUAACCUUUAGGAUAUUUAUGAUGAACUGUAUGUUCUGCAUCUCUUUUUCCAGCAAACAUGCAUUUCAUGCAUAAUAAUUGUCUAUGUUUAAUUUCAAUAUCCACUUAAAUAAAAUUUUAAAACUAAUAAUGAAUGGUCUUUGCAGAGGAGAAAGAUCAAAUGGCCAAAAGGUUUACUACGAUGCAUAGGCCCAAACAUUCACAGCACUACUUAUGCAGAUUUAGGACCCAUUUUCGAAUUAUAGAUAUGUUAUGCAUAAUAAUUUUGAAAAAGCAUAUAUUGUGUGAUUCAGUUGUUGGAGAAAAUGUAAGUGUGAAACCCAAGGAUUGCUAUAGUGAUAGUGGCAUCAUGAUAAGUGGCUCUACUUGGUAUAGGGAAUAAAAAUAAAAAUUUAGCAUUUGAUAGGCUGAACUUAUAAGAGUAUACUCUUUUCAAAGUACGGUUUACUUGGUAGUUCAAAAAAUGAAUGGAGUUUUUGUCUUGAUAGAAAUCUGUGCUUAAUAUCUAAGAAUACUUUAAGAGAAAAAAAUUUCAAAUACUUGAACUUUUUCUUUCUUUCCGCGUCAAAUGAAUUUAUAAUGAUUUUGGUGCAGAAAUUAUUUUUAUUUGAUAAAUAUUAAAUGGACAAAAUAUGGACCCUACCUGGAAAUUUUCUGGUUUGAGAUUUCUCAUCGACCAUCAUAUGUAAACCUUGUUAUAGGUAUGAAAUUGUUCGUAGGCAUUUCAUGAUUUAGGAAGAAACAUUAUCUUUGUUGAGCUUAAACUGCUGCAUAAGCUUCUAACCUGUAUACACUUCCUGGUAUGAAAAAAAAUGGGUUUCUUACUCAGAAUCCUCCAUUGAUCUUGUGUUUUGCUUGUCUUCUUGAUUUUGAGUGAUUGAUGACUUAGUAACUUAUAUUUUGUUUAUUCUUCACUAUAUCUCUCUUUAUUGGAUAG